Triticum aestivum (bread wheat) is the source of this 432-nucleotide long non-coding RNA. RefSeq lists it as uncharacterized. The transcript has 2 exons. NCBI's taxonomy places the organism in Eukaryota, Viridiplantae, Streptophyta, Magnoliopsida, Poales, Poaceae. The record is from RefSeq and is a predicted model, not a curated record.
CCGAGAAGGAAAAUGGCGGGCACAAGAGCAGCAGCGAUGAAGCUGGCGGUCGUCCUCCUGGCCAUGAGCCAGCUCGUCCACAUGGCGACCCCGACGGCGGAUCCAAUGACUACUGCGUCAUCGUCUCUACUGGUUACGAGCGUCUCCGGCCCUUCCGACGGGGAACAUAAACCCAGCCAUGGCAUCAGGGAAGAGAAGGUGUUGCUCAACGCGCCCAACAUCCCUGCAGUUCCGCCCCCUCCCCACCUCGUCCUACCGUGCAAGGGAAGAGCGUGUUGACCUCACGGGGAGGAUGACGAGAUCAAAUGCACGCAGAUGGACUCAAGUGUGCCAAGACAAUAAAAAGCCACGUUGUUCUACAUAAGUCGUGUACUCCAUGUUUACGAUCGACCGAUGGAAUAAAUAAACGGAACCUUGUUUUGGAACAAGUUU